GGUUAAGUUAGAAAGGGCGCACGGUGGAUGCCUUGACACUAGGAGUCGAUGAAGGACGGGACUAACGCCGAUAUGCUUCGGGGAGCUGUAAGUAAGCUUUGAUCCGAAGAUUUCCGAAUGGGGAAACCCACCAUACGUAAUGGUAUGGUAUCCUUAUCUGAAUACAUAGGGUAAGGAAGACAGACCCAGGGAACUGAAACAUCUAAGUACCUGGAGGAAGAGAAAGCAAAUGCGAUUUCCUGAGUAGCGGCGAGCGAAACGGAACAUAGCCCAAACCAAGAGGCUUGCCUCUUGGGGUUGUAGGACAUUCUAUACGGAGUUACAAAGGAACGAGGUAGACGAAGCGACCUGGAAAGGUCCGUCGUAGAGGGUAACAACCCCGUAGUCGAAACUUCGUUCUCUCUUGAAUGUAUCCUGAGUACGGCGGAACACGUGAAAUUCCGUCGGAAUCUGGGAGGACCAUCUCCCAAGGCUAAAUACUCCCUAGUGAUCGAUAGUGAACCAGUACCGUGAGGGAAAGGUGAAAAGCACCCCGGAAGGGGAGUGAAAGAGAUCCUGAAACCGUGUGCCUACAAAUAGUCAGAGCCCGUUAACGGGUGAUGGCGUGCCUUUUGUAGAAUGAACCGGCGAGUUACGAUCCCGUGCGAGGUUAAGCUGAAGAGGCGGAGCCGCAGCGAAAGCGAGUCUGAAUAGGGCGUUUAGUACGUGGUCGUAGACCCGAAACCAGGUGAUCUACCCAUGUCCAGGGUGAAGUUCAGGUAACACUGAAUGGAGGCCCGAACCCACGCACGUUGAAAAGUGCGGGGAUGAGGUGUGGGUAGCGGAGAAAUUCCAAUCGAACCUGGAGAUAGCUGGUUCUCCCCGAAAUAGCUUUAGGGCUAGCCUUAAGUGUAAGAGUCUUGGAGGUAGAGCACUGAUUGGACUAGGGGUCCUCAUCGGAUUACCGAAUUCAGUCAAACUCCGAAUGCCAAUGACUUAUCCUUAGGAGUCAGACUGCGAGUGAUAAGAUCCGUAGUCAAAAGGGAAACAGCCCAGACCGCCAGCUAAGGUCCCAAAGUGUGUAUUAAGUGGAAAAGGAUGUGGAGUUGCUUAGACAACUAGGAUGUUGGCUUAGAAGCAGCCACCAUUUAAAGAGUGCGUAAUAGCUCACUAGUCGAGUGACUCUGCGCCGAAAAUGUACCGGGGCUAAAUACACCACCGAAGCUGCGGAUUGAUACCAAUGGUAUCAGUGGUAGGGGAGCGUUCUAAGGACAGUGAAGUCAGACCGGAAGGACUGGUGGAGUGCUUAGAAGUGAGAAUGCCGGUAUGAGUAGCGAAAGACGGGUGAGAAUCCCGUCCACCGAAUGCCUAAGGUUUCCUGAGGAAGGCUCGUCCGCUCAGGGUUAGUCAGGACCUAAGCCGAGGCCGACAGGCGUAGGCGAUGGACAACAGGUUGAUAUUCCUGUACCACCUCUUUAUCGUUUGAGCAAUGGAGGGACGCAGAAGGAUAGAAGAAGCGUGCGAUUGGUUGUGCACGUCCAAGCAGUUAGGCUGAUAAGUAGGCAAAUCCGCUUAUCGUAAAGGCUGAGCUGUGAUGGGGAAGCUCCUUAUGGAGCGAAGUCUUUGAUUCCCCGCUGCCAAGAAAAGCUUCUAGCGAGAUAAAAGGUGCCUGUACCGCAAACCGACACAGGUAGGCGAGGAGAGAAUCCUAAGGUGUGCGAGAGAACUCUGGUUAAGGAACUCGGCAAAAUGACCCCGUAACUUCGGGAGAAGGGGUGCUUUCUUAACGGAAAGCCGCAGUGAAUAGGCCCAAGCGACUGUUUAGCAAAACACAGCUCUCUGCGAAGCCGUAAGGCGAAGUAUAGGGGGUGACACCUGCCCGGUGCUGGAAGGUUAAGGAGAGGGGUUAGCGUAAGCGAAGCUCUGAACUGAAGCCCCAGUAAACGGCGGCCGUAACUAUAACGGUCCUAAGGUAGCGAAAUUCCUUGUCGGGUAAGUUCCGACCCGCACGAAAGGUGUAACGAUUUGGGCACUGUCUCAACCAGAGACUCGGUGAAAUUAUAGUACCUGUGAAGAUGCAGGUUACCCGCGACAGGACGGAAAGACCCCGUGGAGCUUUACUGUAGCCUGAUAUUGAAUUUUGGUACAGUUUGUACAGGAUAGGCGGGAGCCUUUGAAACCGGAGCGCUAGCUUCGGUGGAGGCGCUGGUGGGAUACCGCCCUGACUGUAUUGAAAUUCUAACCUACGGGUCUUAUCGACCCGGGAGACAGUGUCAGGUGGGCAGUUUGACUGGGGCGGUCGCCUCCUAAAGUGUAACGGAGGCGCCCAAAGGUUCCCUCAGAAUGGUUGGAAAUCAUUCGUAGAGUGCAAAGGCAUAAGGGAGCUUGACUGCGAGACCUACAAGUCGAGCAGGGACGAAAGUCGGGCUUAGUGAUCCGGUGGUUCCGCAUGGAAGGGCCAUCGCUCAACGGAUAAAAGCUACCCCGGGGAUAACAGGCUUAUCUCCCCCAAGAGUCCACAUCGACGGGGAGGUUUGGCACCUCGAUGUCGGCUCAUCGCAUCCUGGGGCUGUAGUCGGUCCCAAGGGUUGGGCUGUUCGCCCAUUAAAGCGGUACGCGAGCUGGGUUCAGAACGUCGUGAGACAGUUCGGUCCCUAUCCGUCGUGGGCGUAGGAAAUUUGAGAGGAGCUGUCCUUAGUACGAGAGGACCGGGAUGGACGCACCGCUGGUGUACCAGUUGUUCUGCCAAGGGCAUAGCUGGGUAGCUAUGUGCGGAAGGGAUAAGUGCUGAAAGCAUCUAAGCAUGAAGCCCCCCUCAAGAUGAGAUUUCCCAUAGCGUAGGCUAGUAAGAUCCCUGAAAGAUGAUCAGGUUGAUAGGUUCGAGGUGGAAGCAUGGUGACAUGUGGAGCUGACGAAUACUAAUAGAUCGAGGACUUAACCAU
Molecule: ribosomal RNA, 2921 nt
Filed under: Bacillus tropicus
Lineage: Bacteria; Bacillati; Bacillota; Bacilli; Caryophanales; Bacillaceae
Description: 23S ribosomal RNA
Rfam family: Bacterial large subunit ribosomal RNA
Source: RNAcentral